RNAcentral lists this ribosomal RNA (253 nucleotides) under uncultured bacterium. RNAcentral describes it as "partial 16S ribosomal RNA". It matches the Rfam family "Bacterial small subunit ribosomal RNA", at positions 524 to 776 of the family's 1533-position model. The record is from RNAcentral.
UACGUAGGGGGCAAGCGUUGUCCGGAUUUAUUGGGCGUAAAGAGCGUGUAGGCGGCCUGGUAGGUCAGCUGUGAAAACUCGAGGCUCAACCUCGAGACGUCGGUUGAAACCACCUGGCUAGAGUCCGGAAGAGGAGAGUGGAAUUCCCGGUGUAGCGGUGAAAUGCGCAGAUAUCGGGAAGAACACCCGUGGCGAAGGCGGCUCUCUGGAACGCAACUGACGCUGAGACGCGAAAGCGUGGGGAGCAAACAGG